Molecule: ribosomal RNA, 557 nt
Filed under: uncultured Bacteroidota bacterium
Lineage: Bacteria; Pseudomonadati; Bacteroidota
Description: bacterial SSU rRNA
Rfam family: Bacterial small subunit ribosomal RNA
Source: RNAcentral
CCAAGUCUGAACCAGCCAUGCCGCGUGCAGGAAGAAGGCCUUCUGGGUCGUAGACUGCUUUUGCCAGGGGAUAAUAUACCGAUGCGUCGGUAAUUGAAGGUACCUGGUGAAUAAGCCACGGCUUACUACGUGCCAGCAGCCGCGGUAAUACGUAGGUGGCAAGCGUUGUCCGGAUUUAUUGGGUUUGAAGGGUGCGUAGGCGGUCCUAUAAGUCAGUGCUGACAUAUCCCGGCCUUACCGGGAGGCUGGCAUUGAUACUGUAGGACUUGAGUAAAGUUGAGGUAAGCGGUAUUGACGGUGUAGCGGUGAUAUGCUUAGAUAUCGUCAAGAACACCUAUUGCGAAGGCAGCUUACUAAGCUAUAACUGACGCUGAGGCAACGGAAGGUGGUGGGGCAAUUCAAAACCAGGAAUUUAGAAUACCCCUGGGUAGUCCCACACUUGUAAACGUUUGAAAGACUCGAUGUUUAGCGAUACACUGUUUAGCGUCUGAGAGAAAUCGUUUAGUCUUCCCACCCUGGGGAUGUACGCCCGCAACGGUGAAACUCAAAGGGAAUUG